This 206-nucleotide ribosomal RNA is filed under the name uncultured bacterium. RNAcentral describes it as "partial 16S ribosomal RNA". It matches the Rfam family "Bacterial small subunit ribosomal RNA", at positions 568 to 774 of the family's 1533-position model. The record is from RNAcentral.
CGUGUAGGUGGCUUGCUAUGUCAGGUGUGAAAGCCCUCGGCCUAACCGAGGAAGUGCGCCUGAAACUGGCUAGCUUGAGCACGAGAGAGGAGGACGGAAUUCCCAGUGUAGAGGUGAAAUUCGUAGAUAUUGGGAGGAACACCGGUGGCGAAAGCGGUUCUCUGGAUCGAUACUGACACUAAGACGCGAAAGCGUGGGAUCAAACA